UACGUAGGGUGCGAGCGUUGUCCGGAAUUAUUGGGCGUAAAGAGCUUGUAGGCGGUCUGUCGCGUCUGCUGUGAAAAUCCGGGGCUCAACCCCGGACUUGCAGUGGGUACGGGCAGACUAGAGUGUGGUAGGGGAGACUGGAAUUCCAGGUGUAGCGGUGAAAUGCGCAGAUAUCAGGAGGAACACCGGUGGCGAAGGCGGGUCUCUGGGCCGAUAUUGACGCUGAGGAGCGAAAGCGUGGGGAGCAAACAGG
This 253-nucleotide ribosomal RNA is filed under the name uncultured bacterium. RNAcentral's name for it is "partial 16S ribosomal RNA". It matches the Rfam family "Bacterial small subunit ribosomal RNA", at positions 524 to 776 of the family's 1533-position model. The record is from RNAcentral.